GACGAACGCUGGCGGCGCGCCUAACACAUGCAAGUCGAACGAGAGAUGAGGAGCUUGCUCUUCAAAUCGAGUGGCGAACGGGUGAGUAACGCGUGAGGAACCUGCCUCAAAGAGGGGGACAACAGUUGGAAACGACUGCUAAUACCGCAUAAGCCCACGGCUCGGCAUCGAGCAGAGGGAAAAGGAGCAAUCCGCUUUGAGAUGGCCUCGCGUCCGAUUAGCUAGUUGGUGAGGUAACGGCCCACCAAGGCGACGAUCGGUAGCCGGACUGAGAGGUUGAACGGCCACAUUGGGACUGAGACACGGCCCAGACUCCUACGGGAGGCAGCAGUGGGGAAUAUUGCACAAUGGGGGAAACCCUGAUGCAGCGACGCCGCGUGGAGGAAGAAGGUCUUCGGAUUGUAAACUCCUGUUGUUGAGGAAGAUAAUGACGGUAC
RNAcentral lists this ribosomal RNA (437 nucleotides) under uncultured bacterium. RNAcentral describes it as "bacterial SSU rRNA". It matches the Rfam family "Bacterial small subunit ribosomal RNA", at positions 28 to 478 of the family's 1533-position model. The record is from RNAcentral.